CAUUUACUAAAUGGAAUACUAAAAUUGGAAUGAUACAGAGAGGAUUAGCAUGGCCCCUGUGCAAGGAUGACACGCAAAUUCAUGAAGUGUUCCAUAUUUUU
Small nuclear RNA from Callithrix jacchus (white-tufted-ear marmoset), 101 nucleotides. The record is from Ensembl. NCBI's taxonomy places the organism in Eukaryota, Metazoa, Chordata, Mammalia, Primates, Cebidae.